CCUACGGGAGGCAGCAGUGGGGAAUAUUGGGCAAUGGGCGCAAGCCUGACCCAGCAACGCCGCGUGAAGGAAGAAGGCUUUCGGGUUGUAAACUUCUUUUCUUAGGGACGAAGCAAGUGACGGUACCUGAGGAAUAAGCCACGGCUAACUACGAGCCAGCAGCCGCGCUAAUACGUAGGUGGCAAGCGUUAUCCGGAUUUACUGGGUGUAAAGGGCGUGUAGGCGGGACUGCAAGUCAGAUGUGAAAACCACGGGCUCAACCUGUGGACUGCAUUUGAAACUGUAGUUCUUGAGUACUGGGGAGGCAGACGGAAUGCCUAGUGUAGCGGUGAAAUGCGUAGAUAUUAGGAGGAACUCCAGUUGCGAAGGCGGUCUGCUGGACUGCAACUGACGCUGAGGCGCGAAAGCGUGGGGAGCAAACAGGAUUAGAUACCCCGGUAGUC
Molecule: ribosomal RNA, 443 nt
Filed under: uncultured bacterium
Lineage: Bacteria
Description: partial 16S ribosomal RNA
Rfam family: Bacterial small subunit ribosomal RNA
Source: RNAcentral